Molecule: ribosomal RNA, 497 nt
Filed under: uncultured bacterium
Lineage: Bacteria
Description: partial 16S ribosomal RNA
Rfam family: Bacterial small subunit ribosomal RNA
Source: RNAcentral
GAUGAACGCUGGCGGCGUGCCUAAUACAUGCAAGUCGAGCGAACGGACGAGAAGCUUGCUUUUCUGAUGUUAGCGGCGGACGGGUGAGUAACACGUGGAUAACCUACCUAUAAGACUGGGAUAACUUCGGGAAACCGGAGCUAAUACCGGAUAAUAUUUUGAACCGCAUGGUUCAAAAGUGAAAGACGGUCUUGCUGUCACUUAUAGAUGGAUCCGCGCUGCAUUAGCUAGUUGGUAAGGUAACGGCUUACCAAGGCAACGAUGCAUAGCCGACCUGAGGGGGUGAUCGGCCACACUGGAACUGAGACACGGUCCAGGCUCCUACGGGAGGCAGCAGUAGGGAAUCUUCCGCAAUGGGCGAAAGCCUGACGGAGCAACGCCGCGUGAGUGAUGAAGGUCUUCGGAUCGUAAAACUCUGUUAUUAGGGAAGAACAUAUGUGUAAGUAACUGUGCACAUCUUGACGGUACCUAAUCAGAAAGCCACGGCUAACUACGUG